Molecule: long non-coding RNA, 2018 nt
Organism: Bombus huntii
Lineage: Eukaryota; Metazoa; Arthropoda; Insecta; Hymenoptera; Apidae
Exons: 2
Source: RefSeq, a predicted model, not a curated record
CACUACCGUUUAAGCCUCGAAACAAGCAAAAUAGCUCGCAAAUCGCAAAGAUUUCGUCGAUUUUGACGAAAACUAACUGUCAUUUCCUUCCCGUUGGAGAUAUUUCGACGUUUAAGCGCUCGUUGAACUCCAUUUUACACUGCAAAUGCAAUGCACUACCGCUUAAGCGUCGAAACAAGCAAAAUAGCUCCCAAAUCGCGAAGAUUUCGUCGAUUUCGAUGAAAUCUAGCUGUCAUUUCCUUCCCGUUGGAGAUAUCUUGAAGUUUAAGCGCUCUUUGAACACUAUUUUACACUGCAAAUGCAAUGCACUACCGUUUAAGCGUCGAAACAAGCAAAAUAGCACGCAAAUCGCGAAGAUUUCGUCGAUUUCGAUGAAAUCUAGCCGUCAUUUCCUUCCCGUUGGAGAUAUUUCGACGUUUAAGAGCUCGUUGAACUACACUUUACACUGCAAAUGCAAUGCACUAACGUUUAAGCGUCGAAACAAGCCCAACAGCUCGCAAAUCGCAAUGAUUUUGUUGAUUUUGACGAAAACUAGUCGACAUUCCCUUCCCGUUGGAGGUAUUUCGACAUUUAAGAGCUCAUUUCACUCCAUUUGACACGACAAAGAUAAUGCACUCCGGUUUCAGCGUCGAAACAAGCCCAACAGCCGGAAAAUCGCGAUGAUUUCGUCGAUUUUGACGAAAACUAACCGUCAUUUCCCUCCCGUUGGAUAUAUUUCGACCUUUAAGCGGUCAUUUCGCUCCAUUUUACACGACAAAUAUAAUACCCACAGGUUUCAGCGUCGAGACAAGCCCAACAGCUCGCAAAUCGCGAUGAUUUCGUCGAUUUUGACGAAAACUAGCCGUCAUUUCCCUCCCGUUGGAGAUAUUUCGACGUUUAAGCGCACGUUUCACUCUAUUUUACACGCCAAAUGUAAUGCACUCCGGUUUCAGUGUCGAAACAAGCCCAACAGCCGGAAAAUCGCGAUGAUUUCGUCGAUUUUGACGAAAAUUUGUCGCUACUUCUUUCCCGUUGGAGAUAUUUCGACGUUUAAGCGCUCAUUUCACUCCAUUUUACACGGCAAAUGUAAUGCAUACUGGUUUCAGCGUCGAAACAAGCAGAACAGCUCGCAAAUUGCGAUGAUUUCGUCGAUUUUGACGAAAAUUAGUUGUUAUUUCCUCCCCGUUGGAGAUAUUUCGACGUUUAAGCGCUCAUUUCACACCAUUUUACACUGCAAAUGUGAUGCACGCCCGCUUCAGCAUCGAAACAAGCUGUCACGUCCCGCGGUACGCACGUGCCGUAACACAAGACGGAACACCGCAAAAUACAAAUAUGGCGAGUGACAAUUCGAAUAUUCAAAGGGAAUGAACGAUACAACGAAAGUGGGAAUUUUUUAAUACAAGAUUAAUCAAAUGUUAUCAAAUAUAGAGAAUUGGUAUACGAGGCAAAUAACAUAUAAUAAAGUAAAAAUUGGUACUCUAACGAAAUAGUAAAUAUAAAGAGUACAACAUAACCUAUAAUUUCACAAUUCGACUAAGGAUUAACUAUGAAGAACCAAUUAACCAAAAGUGACUCGCAAAUUAAUUAAUAAAUCACGACAUAAUACUAUAUUCAAUCAGGAUAUCGUACAAUUCGACAAUUUAAUCAAAUCUCGUAAUAACUUCAUGAAUAAUUCAAAGGAAAGGAAAAAGGAAUGGAACGAUAGGAAUACACACCUUUAUAACAAAAAGGAAAUAUCAAGCAAUUUAAUAUACAGCAAAUAUGGACAUACAAAACCACAAUAAACAAAAUAUAUCUUAUAUACAACUAGAUAUAAAAUACAUAAAGCACCUAGGCAUAUUAACACACUUCAAUAAACCAGGCACUAUUGUGAGAAUCCACACACGAAACGUCAAGAUUAAAGUAAAAGGGAUUCCACGAACAAUACACACGAACAAGUAACACAAUCGAAACAGACCACAAGAACGAUUUCAAGAGACAACGUAGUACGGUAGUAUAUGGAACAACACUGCUUGUCGAAUACUGCAGAUAGUGGUAAC